GGGGCCUUAGCUCAAUUGGGAGAGCGAUGCCUUUGCAAGGCAUAGGUUGCCGGUUCGAUCCCGGUAGGCUCCA
This 73-nucleotide transfer RNA is filed under the name Phycisphaerae bacterium. RNAcentral describes it as "tRNA-Ala". It matches the Rfam family "tRNA". From Rfam's summary of the family: Transfer RNA (tRNA) molecules are approximately 80 nucleotides in length. Their secondary structure includes four short double-helical elements and three loops (D, anti-codon, and T loops). Lineage: Bacteria; Pseudomonadati; Planctomycetota; Phycisphaerae. The record is from RNAcentral.